This 869-nucleotide ribosomal RNA is filed under the name uncultured archaeon. RNAcentral describes it as "bacterial SSU rRNA". It matches the Rfam family "Archaeal small subunit ribosomal RNA", at positions 5 to 879 of the family's 1478-position model. The record is from RNAcentral.
CGGUUGAUCCUGCCGGAGGCCACUGCUAUUGGGAUUCGAUUCAGCCAUGCGAGUCGAGAGGGUUCGGCCCUCGGCUGACGGCUCAGUAACACGUGGAUAAUCUCCCCUUAGGAGGAGGAUAACCCCGGGAAACUGGGGAUAAUACUCCAUAGAUCGAGGAUGCUGGAAUGCACCUAGAUUAAAAACUCCGGUGCCUAAGGAUGAGUCUGCGGACUAUCAGGUAGUAGUCAGGGUAAUGACCUGACUAGCCUACGACGGAUACGGGUUGUGAGAGCAAUAACCCGGAGAUGAUAUCUGAGACACGAUAUCAGGCCCUACGGGGCGCAGCAGGCGCGAAAACUUCACACUGCGCGAAAGCGCGAUGAGGGAAUCCCAAGUGCUUGCACGUAAGUGUAAGCUGUUUCUAUGUCUAAAAAACAUAGAGAGUAAGAGCUGGGUAAGACGGGUGCCAGCCGCCGCGGUAAUACCUGCAGCUCAAGUGGUGGCCGUUAUUAUUGGGCCUAAAACGUCCGUAGCCGGUUUACUAAAUGCCCGGGUAAAUCGUGCCGCUUAACGGUACGAAUUCCGGGUAGACUGGUAAACUUGAGACCGGGAGAAGCUAGAGGUACUCCUGGGGUAGAGGUGAAAUUCUGUAAUCCUAGGGGGACCACCAGUGGCGAAGGCGUCUAGCUAGAACGGGUCUGACGGUGAGGGACGAAGCCCUGGGGCGCAAACCGGAUUAGAUACCCGGGUAGUCCAGGGUGUAAACGCUGCUUGCUUGAUGUUAGUCGGGCUCCGAGCCCGAUUAGUGUCGGAAAGAAGUUGUUAAGCAAGCUGCCUGGGAAGUACGGCCGCAAGGCUGAAACUUAAAGGAAUUGGCGGGGGAGCAC